This 310-nucleotide ribosomal RNA is filed under the name uncultured bacterium. RNAcentral's name for it is "partial 16S ribosomal RNA". It matches the Rfam family "Bacterial small subunit ribosomal RNA", at positions 503 to 807 of the family's 1533-position model. The record is from RNAcentral.
AAGAGACAGCAGUCGCCGCGGGAAUACGUAGGUGGCGAGCGUUGUCCGGAAUUAUUGGGCGUAAAGGGCUCGCAGGCGGUUUCUUAAGUCAGAUGUGAAAGCCCCCGGCUCAACCGGGGAGGGUCAUUGGAAACUGGGAAACUUGAGUGCAGAAGAGGAGAGUGGAAUUCCACGUGUAGCGGUGAAAUGCGUAGAGAUGUGGAGGAACACCAGUGGCGAAGGCGACUCUCUGGUCUGUAACUGACGCUGAGGAACGAAAGCGUGGGGAGCGAACAGGAUUAGAUACCCCCGUAGUCCCUGUCUCUUAUAC